This 305-nucleotide ribosomal RNA is filed under the name uncultured bacterium. RNAcentral describes it as "bacterial SSU rRNA". It matches the Rfam family "Bacterial small subunit ribosomal RNA", at positions 333 to 636 of the family's 1533-position model. The record is from RNAcentral.
CGUGUCCUAGGGAGGCAGCAGUGAGGAAUAUUGGUCAAUGGCCGUAAGGCUGAACCAGCCAAGUAGCGUGAGGGAAGACUGCCCUAUGGGUUGUAAACCUCUUUUAUGCGGGGAUAAAGGUGUCCACGUGUGGAUGUUUGCAGGUACCACAUGAAUAAGGACCGGCUAAUUCCGUGCCAGCAGCCGCGGUAAUACGGAAGGUCCGGGCGUUAUCCGGAUUUAUUGGGUUUAAAGGGAGCGUAGGCCGGUCUUUAAGCGUGCCGUGAAAUUUUGUGGCUCAACCAUGAGAGUGCGGCGCGAACUGG